RNAcentral lists this ribosomal RNA (543 nucleotides) under uncultured Ascomycota. Its description in RNAcentral is "SSU rRNA". It matches the Rfam family "Eukaryotic small subunit ribosomal RNA", at positions 549 to 1098 of the family's 1831-position model. Lineage: Eukaryota; Fungi; Ascomycota. The record is from RNAcentral.
UGGAGGGCAAGUCUGGUCCCAGCAGCCGCGGUAAUUCCAGCUCCAAUAGCGUAUAUUAAAGUUGUUGUGGUUAAAAAGCUCGUAGUUGAACCUUGGGCCUGGCUGGCCGGUCCGCCUCACCGCGUGUACUGGUCCGGCCGGGCCUUUCCCUCUGUGGAACCCCAUGCCCUUCACUGGGUGUGGCGGGGAAACAGGACUUUUACUGUGAAAAAAUUAGAGUGCUCCAGGCAGGCCUAUGCUCGAAUACAUUAGCAUGGAAUAAUAGAAUAGGACGUGUGGUUCUAUUUUGUUGGUUUCUAGGACCGCCGUAAUGAUUAAUAGGGACAGUCGGGGGCAUCAGUAUUCAAUUGUCAGAGGUGAAAUUCUUGGAUUUAUUGAAGACUAACUACUGCGAAAGCAUUUGCCAAGGAUGUUUUCAUUAAUCAGGAACGAAAGUUAGGGGAUCGAAGACGAUCAGAUACCGUCGUAGUCUUAACCAUAAACUAUGCCGACUAGGGAUCGGACGGUGUUAUUUUUUGACCCGUUCGGCGCCUUACGGGAAAC